GUAGCGUUGAAACACCUGUUUCCGUACGACCACCGAAGUUAAGCAUCAUCAAGCUUGGUCAGUACCCUGAUGGGUGACCUCUUGGGAAUACCAAGU
Acanthosepion pharaonis is the source of this 96-nucleotide non-coding RNA. The record is from the annotation of a GenBank genome assembly. Lineage: Eukaryota; Metazoa; Mollusca; Cephalopoda; Sepiida; Sepiidae.